GGGGAUGUCCCGGUUUCGACGGAAUUGGGAAAUCUUGCACUGCAGGUAAGGGUGAAGGUCCUUUAAACUGACAAAAAAAUAACUGCAAUUUUCGCAAGAAAAGAAGAAGAAGCUGAAGAAGUUUCUUUCGCAGAAGCACUCGCUGCUUAAGUAGCCGUGCAGGAACCCAAUCGGCCCUGUUCCGCGUUGGUUGGUGUUCUUUUACCUAUCGGGACUUGCUGACUAUAGUUUCUAUAAUGUAGUCGGGACUCUUUAUUAGAAUAAGGGAACGACGCUUGUUAUGCUGCUACCGGUCCCCGACAACCACCUCGCAUAACUAAACCCGUAGAUGUGCCUGGUUUACUUUUUCGGACGGGGGUUCAAUUCCCCCCAUCUCCA
This 378-nucleotide transfer-messenger RNA is filed under the name uncultured Treponema sp. It matches the Rfam family "transfer-messenger RNA". Rfam says of the family: Bacterial tmRNA, also known as 10Sa RNA or SsrA, is named for its dual tRNA and mRNA-like properties. The record is from RNAcentral. Lineage: Bacteria; Pseudomonadati; Spirochaetota; Spirochaetia; Treponematales; Treponemataceae.